Molecule: ribosomal RNA, 483 nt
Filed under: uncultured bacterium
Lineage: Bacteria
Description: partial 16S ribosomal RNA
Rfam family: Bacterial small subunit ribosomal RNA
Source: RNAcentral
GACGAACGCUGGCGGCGUGCUUAACACAUGCAAGUCGAACGCUGAAGCUCAGCUUUUGUUGGGUGGAUGAGUGGCGAACGGGUGAGUAACACGUGAGUAACCUGCCCCCUUCUUUGGGAUAACGCCCGGAAACGGGUGCUAAUACUGGAUAUUCACUGGUCUUCGCAUGGGGGUUGGUGGAAAGGGUUUUUCUGGUGGGGGAUGGGCUCGCGGCCUAUCAGCUUGUUGGUGGGGUGAUGGCCUACCAAGGCUUUGACGGGUAGCCGGCCUGAGAGGGUGACCGGGAACAUUGGGACUGAGAUGCGGCCCAGGCUACUACGGGGGGCAGCAGUGGGGAAUAUUGCACAAAGGGCGCAAGCCUGAUGCAGCGACGCCGCGUGAGGGAUGGAGGCCGUCGGGUUGUGAACCUCGUUCGCUCAUGGUCAAGCCGCAACAAUGGUUGUGGUGAGGGUAGUGGGUAAAGAAGCGCCGGCUAACUACGUG